RNAcentral lists this transfer RNA (77 nucleotides) under Provencibacterium sp. Its description in RNAcentral is "tRNA-Arg". It matches the Rfam family "tRNA". Rfam says of the family: Transfer RNA (tRNA) molecules are approximately 80 nucleotides in length. Their secondary structure includes four short double-helical elements and three loops (D, anti-codon, and T loops). The record is from RNAcentral. Lineage: Bacteria; Bacillati; Bacillota; Clostridia; Eubacteriales; Oscillospiraceae.
GCGCUCGUAGCUCAGCUGGAUAGAGUACUUGACUACGAAUCAAGGGGUCGUGGGUUCGAGUCCCUCCGAGCGCGCCA